GAUGAACGCUGGCGGCGUGCCUAAUACAUGCAAGUCGAGCGAACAGAUGAGGAGCUUGCUCCUCUGACGUUAGCGGCGGACGGGUGGGUAACACGUGGAUAACCUACCUAUAAGACUGGGAUAACUUCGGGAAACCGGAGCUAAUACCGGAUAAUAUAUUGAACCGCAUGGUUCAAUAGUGAAAGACGGUUUUGCUGUCACUUAUAGAUGGAUCCGCGCCGCAUUAGCUAGUUGGUAAGGUAACGGCUUACCAAGGCAACGAUGCGUAGCCGACCUGAGAGGGUGAUCGGCCACACUGGAACUGAGACGCGGUCCAGACUCCGACGGGAGGCAGCAGUAGGGAAUCUUCCGAGAUGGGCGAAAGCCUGACGGAGCAACGCCGCGUGAGUGAUGAAGGUCUUCGGAUCGUAAAACUCUGUUAUGAGGGAAGAACAAAUGUGUAAGUAACUAUGCACGUCUUGACGGUACCUAAUCAGAAAGCCACGGCUAACUACGUG
RNAcentral lists this ribosomal RNA (497 nucleotides) under uncultured bacterium. RNAcentral describes it as "partial 16S ribosomal RNA". It matches the Rfam family "Bacterial small subunit ribosomal RNA", at positions 28 to 507 of the family's 1533-position model. The record is from RNAcentral.